GGGGUUGUGGCUCAGUGGUAGAGUGCUUGCCUCACAUGUAUGAGACACUGGGUUCAAUCCUCAACACCA
RNAcentral lists this transfer RNA (69 nucleotides) under Ictidomys tridecemlineatus (thirteen-lined ground squirrel). Its description in RNAcentral is "Spermophilus tridecemlineatus (thirteen-lined ground squirrel) tRNA". It matches the Rfam family "tRNA". From Rfam's summary of the family: Transfer RNA (tRNA) molecules are approximately 80 nucleotides in length. Their secondary structure includes four short double-helical elements and three loops (D, anti-codon, and T loops). Further hydrogen bonds mediate the characteristic L-shaped molecular structure. tRNAs have two regions of fundamental functional importance: the anti-codon, which is responsible for specific mRNA codon recognition, and the 3' end, to which the tRNAs corresponding amino acid is attached (by aminoacyl-tRNA synthetases). tRNAs cope with the degeneracy of the genetic code in two manners: having more than one tRNA (with a specific anti-codon) for a particular amino acid; and 'wobble' base-pairing, i.e. permitting non-standard base-pairing at the 3rd anti-codon position. The record is from Rfam by way of RNAcentral. Lineage: Eukaryota; Metazoa; Chordata; Mammalia; Rodentia; Sciuridae.